Molecule: non-coding RNA, 172 nt
Filed under: Chimaeribacter arupi
Lineage: Bacteria; Pseudomonadati; Pseudomonadota; Gammaproteobacteria; Enterobacterales; Yersiniaceae
Source: RNAcentral
CUCUAUCAAUGAGUUAAAAGGGAAUCCGGUGUAAAUCCGGAACUGACGCGCAGCGGUAAGGGGAAGUCACGGCGAACGCAUAAUUGCAGACACUGCUCCGCAAGGGGUGGGAAGUCUUCGCCCGGCGUGCUGAUAGGGCACGGCUCCCAAGUCCGAAGACCUGCCGGGAUAA